CCGUAGCAAACCACAGAACGAAAGAGGAGCGGUGUGCUUUUGCUUGGGCUGUGUCGCUGCGAGUGAUUUUGGGAUGGACUUGGUGAGCAAGGAGGGCAAGGGGAAGGUCUCGUGGCGAUCAAAAGUGGCGACUUCGGUAGCGGGUUCGCUAGGGCGGCGGCCUGCAUCAGAUAUUGUCGACACUUGUACUUUCAACAAGGAGGAAGAAACAAUGCCUUUGAUGUGUUCUAUUUCCUCCGAAGAUUACAAUAGAGAGAAAGAAAGCCGGAUGGGGAAGGAAUAAGAAAAAGGAUCAGAAAACGAAGGCUGUACGGGGAAGCCCCCAAACUCCAUCUCUUCUCUAAUCUUCGAACACUGCCUCGAGAGAUGUUUCUUCUCCUCGUCUAAGAAACCAGAAGAGAAGGUAUCAGUUUCUUG
This is a long non-coding RNA of Musa acuminata AAA Group (dessert banana), 417 nucleotides long. RefSeq lists it as uncharacterized. The record is from RefSeq and is a predicted model, not a curated record. The transcript has 3 exons. Lineage: Eukaryota; Viridiplantae; Streptophyta; Magnoliopsida; Zingiberales; Musaceae.